AUUUAUAUAGUUUAAAUAAAACAUUAUAUUUUCAUUAUAAAAAUAAUAAUUAUUAUUUAUAAAUA
Molecule: transfer RNA, 65 nt
Filed under: Enicospilus sp. MD-2008
Lineage: Eukaryota; Metazoa; Arthropoda; Insecta; Hymenoptera; Ichneumonidae
Description: tRNA-Glu
Source: RNAcentral